GUGUGUGUGUUGCCUUAUUUUUCGUUGUACAUCUUUCGUUGUACAGAUGGUGAUGCAGUGUGUGUAUGUGUGUGUGUUGCCUUGUCUUUCGUUGUACAUAUGCUUAUGCAGUGUGUGUGUGUGUGUGUGUGUGUGUGUGUGUGUGUGUGUUGCCUUAUCUUUCGUUGUACAGAUGGUGAUGCAGUGUGUGUGUGUGUGUGUGUUGCCCUUUCUUUCAUUACACAUAUGGUGAUGGAGUGUGUGUGUGUGUGUGUGUGUGUGUUGCCUUAUCUUUCGUUGUACAGAUGGUGAUGCAGUGUGUGUGUGUGUGUGUGUGUGUUGCCCUUUCUUUCAUUACACAUAUGGUGAUGGAGUGUGUGUGUGUGUGUGUGUGUGUGUGUGUGUUGCCUUAUUUUUCGUUGUACAGAUGGUGAUGCAGUGUGUGUUGCUUUGUCUUUCGUUGUAUAUUGUUAUGUAGUGUGUGUGUGUGUGUGUGUGUGUGUGUGUGUUGCCUUAUCUUUUAUUGUACAGAUGGUGAUGCAGUGUGUGUGUGUGUUGCCUUGUCUUUCGUUGUACAUAUGCUUAUGCAGUGUGUGUGUGUGUGUGUGUGUGUGUGUGUGUGUGUGUGUGUGAGUUGCCCUUUCUUUCAUUACACAUAUAGUGAUGGAGUGUGUGUGUGUGUGUGUGUGUGUGUUGCCCUUUCUUUCAUUACACAUAUGGUGAUGGUGUGUGUGUGUGUGUGUGUAUGUAUAUUGCUCUGCCCUUUAGGGUACAGAUGGUGAUGAAAUAUAAAUUAAACAUAAGCACAUAACAAACAAUAAAAAAAAAAAGACAAAAAAAACAUUAUAUCAACUCAGUCUACCUGCCUCACCCCACACCCCAGCCUACUCCAGGUGAGAGAUGGGGAGGAGGAUUUAAAAGGACAUGUUUGCAGUGCACUGUCAGCCCUCACCUGCGCCACCUCCCCCAGUGAGCGGGUGUAGGCCUGGGAAUAGAACAUAUGCAGAUGUCUUGGCUGUGCUGUGUAUGUCUGUUUGUCGAUGGUCAAGAAGGAACGUAGCAAAAGUUUAAGGACCGUGGUGGGAAGAAAAUUCAGAAGCAGAUAAUGAUUGGUGGCAACAGAAGCUGUAGCAGUGCUGCAACACCCCACCAAGCAUAGGAUCACCAGGAGCUGCAUCUACAUCCACAUUGUCAAUCAAUCCAUUCUGUUCAGCAAGUAUACCAGCAGAUCAUCUUGUGCUGAAAAUAGUUUUGAAGAACUUCACUGAACAGCACAGACAUGCACUGGCUGCUUACCUUUCUAUAAUCUUCAUUUGCUCUCAUGUUCUCCAAGCUUUCAUAUCCUGUGUUUGCAUCCUUAACUACCUUUCUUCCCUAGAUCUCUUGCUCACAAUUCUCUUCCAUUUCACUGUUUUUAUAUUUAGUGAUGUAUAUACACAGUUUAUCCAUGCAUAAAGUUGACAAAAAGAAUUCAAAAUGCUUUCUCUACAGCCUCUUAUCACUCCUCCUCAACACCAGUAAAUGCAGCAUCAUGAGAAAAGGAGCAGCAUAAUCCAAAUUUAAUAGGGAAAACAAGCAACAAUUCAGAACUACAUGACCCUGGUAAUGUUCAAACAAAUACCCUUUCACUUACCUUUUGCAUUUAUAUAUCUUGCUACCUUCUAUUGUUACUGUGCUGUUGUAUUCUAGUAAAUUGUCCAAAAUCUCCUUUGAAGUGAGGUUGGCAAGACAUCUGCACUUACAGGUUCACAAGCAUUCGAGCCUUCACGACAUAGCAAGGAAGGACUUAAUGAGGAAUUCUAUUCAUACACACACACACACACAGUCAAGUCAUAUAAGUUCUCUCUGUUUCCUUCUUCCCCCCUCUCUGUCCUUCCCUCUCUUGGUCUCCCACUGUUCUCCCUCUCCCCAUCCUCAACAACACACACAUGCAUACAGUAAUCUCUCUCUCUCUCUCUCUCUCUCUCUCUCUCUCUCUCUCUCUCUCUCUCUCUCUCUCUCUCUCUCUCUCUCUCUCUCUCUCUCUCUCUCUCUCU
Long non-coding RNA from Scylla paramamosain (green mud crab), 2015 nucleotides. RefSeq lists it as uncharacterized. The transcript has 3 exons. The record is from RefSeq and is a predicted model, not a curated record. Lineage: Eukaryota; Metazoa; Arthropoda; Malacostraca; Decapoda; Portunidae.